RNAcentral lists this ribosomal RNA (338 nucleotides) under uncultured Methanothermobacter sp. RNAcentral describes it as "bacterial SSU rRNA". It matches the Rfam family "Archaeal small subunit ribosomal RNA", at positions 347 to 688 of the family's 1478-position model. The record is from RNAcentral. Lineage: Archaea; Methanobacteriati; Methanobacteriota; Methanobacteria; Methanobacteriales; Methanobacteriaceae.
CCUUUGCAAUGCACGAAAGUGUGACAGAGCAAACCAGAGUGCUACUCCGUAUUGGAGUAGCUUUGUGAGAUGUAAAUAGUCUCACGAAUAAGGACCGGGCAAGACUGGUGCCAGCCGCCGCGGUAAUACCAGCGGUCCAAGUCGCAAUCACGUUUAUUGGGUCUAAACAUCCGUAGCUUGCCAUGUAAGUCUUUGUGAAAUCCUGCGUCUUAAGCGUAGAAGUGCGAGAGAUACUGCAUGGCUAGAGACCGGGAGAGGCAAGAAGUACGGUUAGGGUAGCGGUAAAAUGCGUUGAUCCUUUCUGGACUUACAAUAGCGAAGGCAUCUUGCUAGAACGG